UACGUAGGGUGCAAGCGUUAAUCGGAAUUACUGGGCGUAAAGCGUGCGCAGGCGGUUUUGUAAGCCAGAUGUGAAAUCCCCGGGCUUAACCUGGGAAUGGCAUUUGGGACUGCAAGGCUUGAGUUUGGCAGAGGAGACUGGAAUUCCUGGUGUAGCAGUGAAAUGCGUAGAUAUCAGGAGGAAUACCGAUGGCGAAGGCAGGUCUCUGGGCUAGAACUGACGCUCAUGCACGAAAGGCGUGGGGAGCAAACAGGG
RNAcentral lists this ribosomal RNA (255 nucleotides) under uncultured bacterium. Its description in RNAcentral is "partial 16S ribosomal RNA". It matches the Rfam family "Bacterial small subunit ribosomal RNA", at positions 524 to 777 of the family's 1533-position model. The record is from RNAcentral.